CACGUAGGGUGCGAGCGUUGUCCGGAAUUAUUGGGCGUAAAGAGCUCGUAGGCGGUGUGUCGCGUCGGCCGUGAAAACCUGCAGCUUAACUGUGGGCGUGCGGUCGAUACGGGCAUCACUGGAGUUCGGCAGGGGAGACUGGAAUUCCUGGUGUAGCGGUGAAAUGCGCAGAUAUCAGGAGGAACACCGGUGGCGAAGGCGGGUCUCUGGGCCGAUACUGACGCUGAGACGCGAAAGCGUGGGGAGCGAACAGG
Molecule: ribosomal RNA, 254 nt
Filed under: uncultured bacterium
Lineage: Bacteria
Description: partial 16S ribosomal RNA
Rfam family: Bacterial small subunit ribosomal RNA
Source: RNAcentral